This 492-nucleotide ribosomal RNA is filed under the name uncultured bacterium. RNAcentral describes it as "partial 16S ribosomal RNA". It matches the Rfam family "Bacterial small subunit ribosomal RNA", at positions 28 to 507 of the family's 1533-position model. The record is from RNAcentral.
AUUGAACGCUGGCGGCAUGCUUAACACAUGCCAGUCGAACGGCAGCGCGGGCUUCGGCCUGGCGUCGGGUUGGCGACGGGCGGGUGAUGCAUCGGGACGUGCCCAGUUGUUGGGGCUAGCACGACAACAGACGGAUGAAUACACCAUACGAGCUUAGGGUGAACGGGGGGGAUCAAAGGUUCUUGCGGCAUUGGGGGGGCCGAUGUGGGGUUGUCGGAUUGGUUGGUUGGGGGGGUAAUGGCGCGCCAAGGCGACGAUCCGUAGCUGGUCCGAGAGGACGAUCAGCCACACUGGAACUGAGACACGGCCCAGACUCCUACGGGAGGCAGCAGUGGGGAAUUUUGGACAAUGGGGGCAAGCCUGAUCCAGCCAUGCCGCGUGCGUGAAGAAGGCCUUCGGGUUGUAAAGCCCUUUUGUUGGGGAAGAAAAGCUGUGGGCUAAUACCCCGCGGUGAUGACGGUACCGGAAGAAUAAGCACCGGCUAACUACGUG